CAGCAGGAAGCAAAGACCUGGUUCUAUCUUUCAUGCUGCCAGUGGUAAGCACACAGGAGCCUCGUCCUAAUGAAAACUACCAUGGUAGGCAAUAACCGCUUUGUUUUGCAGAACGUACGGCGAAUGCAAGCAGACAGACCCAAGAGAAAACAGCCGAGCUGCAAAAUAGAUCAUUGUUUUCCGUUAGGACACCCUGACCGACAGGCCACGAUCAAGCGUAAUGGAGAGAUGCAAGCAUUGGCACCUGCCCUCUCAAGCCGGAUUUUUCAAGCCCAGCAUGGUGCACCUCUAUUGUUGGCACAUCAGUGCCAACAGUAGAGGCAUUAGGAGAUGAGGACAGGCCAGUGCUAUAAUUCUUCCCAGUCCAUUAGCUGUAAUUAGGGUUCUGCGUUCUCAGAUAAACCUGAUAAACUCCAAAAAACACUAGCCGUUAAAAUUUUGCUGAUUCAGAUUCAUUUGAAAAACUCAAUUUUUCGGUCCCCCACCAGUCUUUAUAUUUCCCGGAAUCUUCGAACAAUUUUUGCAAUUCUCCUCUUAUUGCAGUGUCAACUUCCGUUGCCAUGUAGCCCCUUAUAAUAAAAAUGAGGUAGGCCCUCUACGACAGUAGAUGAAUACGGCGCUCUCAUAUGAAAAUACUGCUUUACUAAAUUCACAAAGUGCUGUUUUCUACCUUUCAUUUGCCUCAUCGAAAAUGCCGAAAGACUCCGAACUUUGCGUACAUAAAUGGAAGCUCCAAAUUGAUGGUUCAAAAAAACAAAA
Molecule: long non-coding RNA, 759 nt
Filed under: Ixodes scapularis (black-legged tick)
Lineage: Eukaryota; Metazoa; Arthropoda; Arachnida; Ixodida; Ixodidae
Description: uncharacterized LOC115312054, transcript variant X2
Source: RNAcentral